RNAcentral lists this ribosomal RNA (774 nucleotides) under Halorubrum sp. O14. RNAcentral's name for it is "bacterial SSU rRNA". It matches the Rfam family "Archaeal small subunit ribosomal RNA", at positions 58 to 833 of the family's 1478-position model. Lineage: Archaea; Methanobacteriati; Methanobacteriota; Halobacteria; Halobacteriales; Haloferacaceae. The record is from RNAcentral.
UCGUACGAGUUCAUACUCGUGGCGAAUAGCUCAGUAACACGUGGCCAAACUACCCUUCGGAGAACCAUACCCUCGGGAAACUGAGGCUAAUAGUACAUACCACAGUCCACCUGGAAUGAGGACUGUGCCAAACGCUCCGGCGCCGAAGGAUGUGGCUGCGGCCGAUUAGGUAGACGGUGGGGUAACGGCCCACCGUGCCAAUAAUCGGUACGGGUCAUGAGAGUGAGAACCCGGAGACGGAAUCUGAGACAAGAUUCCGGGCCCUACGGGGCGCAGCAGGCGCGAAACCUUUACACUGCACGCCAGUGCGAUAAGGGAAUCCCAAGUGCGCAGGCAUAGAGCCUGCGCUUUUGUCCACCGUAGGGAGGUGGACGAAUAAGGGCUGGGCAAGACCGGUGCCAGCCGCCGCGGUAAUACCGGCAGCCCGAGUGAUGGCCGAUCUUAUUGGGCCUAAAGCGUCCGUAGCUGGCCGCACAAGUCCAUCGGAAAAUCCACCCGCUCAACGGGUGGGCGUCCGGUGGAAACUGUGUGGCUUGGGACCGGAAGGCGCGACGGGUACGUCCGGGGUAGGAGUGAAAUCCUGUAAUCCUGGACGGACCGCCGAUGGCGAAAGCACGUCGCGAGGACGGAUCCGACAGUGAGGGACGAAAGCUAGGGUCUCGAACCGGAUUAGAUACCCGGGUAGUCCUAGCCGUAAACAAUGCCUGUUAGGUGUGGCUCCCACUACGAGUGGGUGCUGUGCCGUAGGGAAGCCGCUAAACAGGCCGCCUGGGA